Molecule: ribosomal RNA, 498 nt
Filed under: uncultured bacterium
Lineage: Bacteria
Description: partial 16S ribosomal RNA
Rfam family: Bacterial small subunit ribosomal RNA
Source: RNAcentral
AUUGAACGCUGGCGGCAUGCCUUACACAUGCAAGUCGAACGGUAACAGGUCUUCGGAUGCUGACGAGUGGCGAACGGGUGAGUAAUACAUCGGAACGUGCCUAGUAGUGGGGGAUAACUACUCGAAAGAGUGGCUAAUACCGCAUGAGAUCUACGGAUGAAAGCAGGGGAUCGCAAGACCUUGUGCUACUAGAGCGGCCGAUGGCAGAUUAGGUAGUUGGUGGGAUAAAAGCUUACCAAGCCGACGAUCUGUAGCUGGUCUGAGAGGACGAUCAGACACACUGGGACUGAGACACGGCCCAGACUCCUACGGGAGGCAGCAGUGGGGAAUUUCGGACAAUGGGCGCAAGCCUGAUCCAGCAAUGCCGCGUGCAGGAUGAAGGCCUUCGGGUUGUAAACUGCUUUUGUACGGAACGAAAAGCCCUGGGUUAAUACCCUGGGGUCAUGACGGUACCGUAAGAAUAAGCACCGGCUAACUACGUGCCAGCCGCCGCCGUAA